GCUCAGUAACACGUGGAUAACCUGCCCUUGGGUCUGGGAUAACCCCGGGAAACUGGGGAUAAUACCGGAUAACGCAUAUAUGCUGGAAUGCUUUAUGCGUAAAAUGGAUUCGUCUGCCCAAGGAUGGGUCUGCGGCCUAUCAGGUAGUAGUGGGUGUAAUGUACCUACUAGCCUACAACGGGUACGGGUUGUGAGAGCAAGAGCCCGGAGAUGGUAUUCUGAGACAUGAAUCCAGGCCCUACGGG
This 245-nucleotide ribosomal RNA is filed under the name uncultured Methanosarcina sp. Its description in RNAcentral is "partial 16S ribosomal RNA". It matches the Rfam family "Archaeal small subunit ribosomal RNA", at positions 88 to 329 of the family's 1478-position model. The record is from RNAcentral. Lineage: Archaea; Methanobacteriati; Methanobacteriota; Methanomicrobia; Methanosarcinales; Methanosarcinaceae.